UACCAGGACCACGUGCAAACUAGUUCAUGCUUUUGUUACCUCUAUUUCGGAUUUUUGUAAUGCCUAGCUGUC
Pangasianodon gigas (Mekong giant catfish) is the source of this 72-nucleotide non-coding RNA. The record is from the annotation of a GenBank genome assembly. Lineage: Eukaryota; Metazoa; Chordata; Actinopteri; Siluriformes; Pangasiidae.